This 1520-nucleotide long non-coding RNA is filed under the name Malus domestica (apple). Its description in RNAcentral is "long non-coding RNA (MDOM_LNC012503)". Lineage: Eukaryota; Viridiplantae; Streptophyta; Magnoliopsida; Rosales; Rosaceae. The record is from RNAcentral.
AAAAACCAAACCAUUUCGAACCAAACCCAGCCUUAGCCAUAAGUACUGGGAGUGUAUAUAAUUGAGAUUUUGAAAAAUGUUAAUUUUUUUUAACAAAUUUAUGAGUAUUCAAUUAAAAUUUUAAGUGAUUUUUUUUUUAAUUUACGUGUAUUUAAUUAUGAUUUUAAGAUAUAGUAUUAAAAAUUUACACAAAUUCGGGCGUAUACAACUAUGAUUUUAAGGAGUUUAUAACAUUUUCGGUUAAACCUAGCAAACAAGUCGUGUUUGUCGUGUUCCUUUCGUUUUUUAGUCAUACCGGCUAUCUUAAUGAAUCGUGUCAUGUUAAUUCGUUAUCUUAACAAGUUUUUAACAUGUGACCUGCUAACAACCCGUUUCAAUAACGGGUUGAUCUGAAAGUUGUUAUUUUUCUGUUGUUUCGUUUUUUAUAUGUAAGAAAUUGAUCUGCCUAAUGUCUAGACUUGGCAAAUGGGUCGUAUUUAUGUUGUUUAUGUGUCAUAUCCAUUAUUUUAAUUGGUGGCUCGAUAAAGAUUAACGGAUUGACAUAGAACCUAUUCUUUUUGUGUCGAGUUAAUGGGCCAUGCAAGAAAUUGUUAGGCCUUUCAGGUGUAUUUGAUUAGGUAUAUUUUAAAGGAUUUUAGAAUGAUGAGGAAUUUGAGGGAAUUGGAAAGAUUUGUUAGUGUAUUUUAUUCAUUCACAAAUCUCAUCUCUUCCUUUGAAAAUUUGAAGAAAUUUACUCAAAGUUUUACAUAGAAUCUCUAUAAAUCAACUAAACUCUCUCAAAAUCCUUUUAUUUAUAAAUCCCUUAAAAUCUUAAUUGAAUUAUAGAUCUAAAUGAUCUUGUUUUUCGGAAAAGCACUUUCACUAUUUAUUUUUUGUUUUUGUUAAAUAAUAGAAAAACAUACACUAAUUCAUCUAAACUAUAAGGAGAUUGAGACUUAGUGCAGAGAGAAGGCCAAUUUAGUGAAGUGUAUGUCUACACCAUUUAGGGCAUGUUUGUUUGGCCUCGUUAAGUUUCUCUGGACUGGCUAGGAUUAAUAGUGAGUGAAAUACCAUGUUUGUUAGCAACCAUGACUGUGUUUAAUGAGACUAAAGGGGACUUGCCUAGACUAAACGCCUCACUAGGCGAUCUUAACGAGGCCCCCCAAAAUUGGGUGGAUUACUAAGAUCAGCUCUCAUUUGCCCCUUUCCACUUCACUCUUCGUCAAUUCUUUGCCUUCCCCCUCCUAUUUUUUCCCAUAAGACUCCUCUUCCAACGAAGCCACCAUGGAUUUGUGGUGAGAAACUCGUUCUUUGAGAAACCCAUUUCGUGGAGUUUUGCAAAUUCAUUUCGUGUAUUUGUGCAGCCUUGCCCUUUUCAAUACCAGAUCCAACUCCCAAAAUUUCAACGCAGAAAACCCAAAAAAUCAGAGACCCAGAAAACCCAAAAAAGCCAAAAACCCAAUAAAACUCAUAAACUGAAAGCAGAUUCAGCCCCAUCUCCCACCUUCGCGCCACUCACGCAUGCAUCCCCCCUCCAACUC